UGGGGGAUAUUGCACAAUGGGCGAAAGCCUGAUGCAGCGACGCCGCGUGGGGGAUGAAGGCUUUCGGGUUGUAAACCUCUUUCGCUAUCGAACAAGGCCCGCUUAGGGUGGGUUGAGGGUAGGUGGAGAAGAAGCGCCGGCUAACUACGUGCCAGCAGCCGCGGUAAUACGUAGGGCGCGAGCGUUGUCCGGAAUUAUUGGGCGUAAAGGGCUUGUAGGCGGCUUGUUGCGCCUGCUGUGAAAACGCCGGGCUUAACUUCGGGCGUGGAGUGGGUACGGGCAGGCUUGAGUGUGGUAGGGGUGACUGGGAUGCCAGGUGUAGCGGUGGAAUGCGAAGAUAUCUGGAGGAACACGGAUGGCGAAGGCAGGUCACUGGGCCAUUACUGCCGCUGUGGAGCGAAAGAAUGGGUAGCGAACAGG
RNAcentral lists this ribosomal RNA (420 nucleotides) under bacterium. RNAcentral's name for it is "partial 16S ribosomal RNA". It matches the Rfam family "Bacterial small subunit ribosomal RNA", at positions 355 to 776 of the family's 1533-position model. The record is from RNAcentral.